GAGUUUGAUCAUGGCUCAGGAUGAACGCUGGCGGCGUGCUUAACACAUGCAAGUCGAACGAGAUCCAUGGAGCAGCAAUGCAACGGAAGAUCUAGUGGCGAACGGGUGAGUAACACGUGAGGAACCUACCCCGGUCUCAGGGAUAACAGACGGAAACAUCUGCUAAUACCUGAUGUCGUCAGAGUGCCACAUGGUGUUUUGACGAAAGAUUUAUCGGUCCGGGAGGGCCUCGCGUCCUAUCAGCUUGUUGGUGGGGUAAUGGCCUACCAAGGCGUCGACGGGUAGCUGGUCUGAGAGGAUGAUCAGCCACACUGGGACUGAGACACGGCCCAGACUCCUACGGGAGGC
This 348-nucleotide ribosomal RNA is filed under the name uncultured bacterium. Its description in RNAcentral is "bacterial SSU rRNA". It matches the Rfam family "Bacterial small subunit ribosomal RNA", at positions 9 to 349 of the family's 1533-position model. The record is from RNAcentral.